This 484-nucleotide ribosomal RNA is filed under the name uncultured bacterium. Its description in RNAcentral is "partial 16S ribosomal RNA". It matches the Rfam family "Bacterial small subunit ribosomal RNA", at positions 30 to 507 of the family's 1533-position model. The record is from RNAcentral.
AUUGAACGCUGGCGGCAGGCCUAACACAUGCAAGUCGAGCGGAUGAAGGGAGCUUGCUCCUGGAUUCAGCGGCGGACGGGUGAGUAAUGCCUAGGAAUCUGCCUGGUAGUGGGGGAUAACGUCCGGAAACGGGCGCUAAUACCGCAUACGUCCUGAGGGAGCAAGUGGGUGAUCUUCGGACCUCACGCUAUCAGAUGAGCCUAGGUUGGAUUAGCUAGUUGGUGGGGUAAAGGCCUACCAAGGCGACGAUCCGUAACUGGUCUGAGAGGAUGAUCAGUCACACUGGAACUGAGACACGGUCCAGACUCCUACGGGAGGCAGCAGUGGGGAAUAUUGGACAAAGGGCGAAAGCCUGAUCCAGCCAUGCCGCGUGUGUGAAGAAGGUCUUCGGAUUGUAAAGCACUUUAAGUUGGGAGGAAGGGCAGUAAGUUAAUACCUUGCUGUUUUGACGUUACCAACAGAAUAAGCACCGGCUAACUUCGUG